UGGGGGAUAUUGCACAAUGGGCGAAAGCCUGAUGCAGCGACGCCGCGUGGGGGAUGAAGGCUUUCGGGUUGUAAACCUCUUUCGCUAUCGAACAAGGUCCGCUUAGGGUGGGUUGAGGGUAGGUGGAGAAGAAGCGCCGGCUAACUACGUGCCAGCAGCCGCGGUAAUACGUAGGGCGCGAGCGUUGUCCGGAAUUAUUGGGCGUAAAGGGCUUGUAGGCGGCUUGUUGCGCCUGCUGUGAAAACGCGGGGCUUAACUUCGCGCGUGCAGUGGGUACGGGCAGGCUUGAGUGUGGUAGGGGUGACUGGAAUUCCAGGUGUAGCGGUGGAAUGCGCAGAUAUCUGGAGGAACACCGAUGGCGAAGGCAGGUCACUGGGCCAUUACUGACGCUGAGGAGCGAAAGCAUGGGUAGCGAACAGG
This 420-nucleotide ribosomal RNA is filed under the name bacterium. RNAcentral's name for it is "partial 16S ribosomal RNA". It matches the Rfam family "Bacterial small subunit ribosomal RNA", at positions 355 to 776 of the family's 1533-position model. The record is from RNAcentral.